RNAcentral lists this long non-coding RNA (210 nucleotides) under Olea europaea (common olive). RNAcentral describes it as "long non-coding RNA (OEUR_LNC005100)". The record is from RNAcentral. Lineage: Eukaryota; Viridiplantae; Streptophyta; Magnoliopsida; Lamiales; Oleaceae.
CAGGAGCUACCGAUGCCAAAGCCUUUAAAGGAGAGGCUGAACUUUUCUGAGAAGUCCAAAUAAAUCAUCAGCACACAGAAAAGUUUCAAGUAUGGAAAAGUAUUCUUGUGAGUAGACCAAUUUAAUUACCUUCCUCCUGAUGAUAAGAGGGGUAUCAUCAUCAUCAUCAACAUCAUCCUCCAGAAUGGGAGAUGCUGAGGCUGGCUGUUU